Long non-coding RNA from Ictalurus punctatus (channel catfish), 574 nucleotides. NCBI's taxonomy places the organism in Eukaryota, Metazoa, Chordata, Actinopteri, Siluriformes, Ictaluridae. The record is from Ensembl.
CGAUAGGCUCCAGGUUUCCCGUGACCCUGAAAAGGAUAAGCGGUAUAGAAGAUGGAUGGUUGGAUGUUGUAGGGUUCUGCACCACACCUUUAAGGGUUCAUCCAGUGGAAAAGAAAGAAAGAAAUAAAACGUCCUAGCUUUAUUUCUUAUAUUGGAUAAUUAAAGCAUAUCGUCUAUGAACUGAAUCAUAUCGGUGCUGAACUGAAUCAUAUUGGUGCUGAGCUGAAUCAUAUAGGUGCUGAGCUGAAUCAUAUCGGUGCUGAACUGAAUCAUAUAGGUUCUGAGCUGAAUCAUAUAGGUGCUGAGCUGAAUCAAAUCGGUGCUAAACUGAAUCAUAUAGGUGCUGAACUGAAUCAUAUAGGUGCUGAAAUUAACCAUAAUGCUGCUAAACGGAAUCACCUUUUAGAAUUAAUUCCUAAUCCUGUUGGACUUAAUUGACUUGCUGAGUUAAUUCAACACUGGGAUUAUCGGAAGUGAUCGAAUGAUAAGCCUCAGUAUUGACUUUAUUUACUGUGUGUUCUUCUACUGAUAAAAACCAACAGCAACGCAAGUAAAUACAGAUGCUGAGUUUUUC